AUGUCACUUCUGCACUGCUUCCUGAAGCCCUCCAGGAUGAGCCUGCAGCGGUGCGUCGCCGGCGACGACAUGACGGCGGACGAGUUCAAGGAGUGGAUCCGGCGGUUCGACGCGGACCAGGACGGGCGCAUCAGCCGCGACGAGCUGCGGCGCGCCAUGCGGGCGCUGCGCGUGCGGUUCACGCGGCGGAGGAGCAGGAGCGGCAUCAGCUACGCCGACGCCGACGGCGACGGGUACAUCGACGACAGCGAGAUCGACGGCCUCGUCGAGUUCGCGCGGACCAGCCUCGGCCUCCGGAUCGUCGCCUGCUAG
RNAcentral lists this ribosomal RNA (312 nucleotides) under Triticum aestivum (bread wheat). RNAcentral describes it as "partial small subunit ribosomal RNA". Lineage: Eukaryota; Viridiplantae; Streptophyta; Magnoliopsida; Poales; Poaceae. The record is from RNAcentral.